RNAcentral lists this ribosomal RNA (1305 nucleotides) under Triticum aestivum (bread wheat). RNAcentral's name for it is "partial small subunit ribosomal RNA". The record is from RNAcentral. Lineage: Eukaryota; Viridiplantae; Streptophyta; Magnoliopsida; Poales; Poaceae.
AUGGCGGGCGCGGAUCCCGGCGAAAAGCCGCCGCCUCCUCCUGCCGCGGCGCCCGGCGGCGGCGACUCCUCCCUUCUCGGUGCAGGCGGGCGGAGUGGUUCGGAGACGGGGGUUCGGGGGCUUGUGGUUGGGGCGGAUCCUCCGCCGCAGGCGCAGCUGCGGCCGACGGGGAGGAGGGCGCCGCACGAUCGCGUCACCGGCGAGCAGGAAGAAUCGCGGCGCCCGACGCCGACGGCCUCGGUCACGGGACAGCGCGUGGGCGACGAUGCCAUCCCUUCUACGGCGGCGCUGCACGCCGUCACGGCCCGUUUUCUGGCGAACCUCCCCGUCGUCGACCAAGCUUCUUCUUCCGCGCCGGUCCCCGCGCGCCAGCCCAGCACGGAGGCGAUGCCGACAGCAUCGGAACUGCUCGACGUCCCCAAGUCCAAGGAGUGCCUACUCGACACGCGUCCCGGCUCGGAGGAUGCCCUCGUCUACAACUCGCUGCUCGGUGACGGGAGCGCAACCUCUGCACUCGCUCAAGUCUGCAGGAGGGCUUCGGUGUCGGUGCCGGGGAUGAGCGAGUCCGAGACGGGGGUUCGAGGCUUGGCGGCGGCGCCAACACCGGCACGUCUGUUGCCGUUCCAGUUCCUCCAGGCGAGGGGAUUCCGAUAUGAGUGGGAGGAGCCGGUGCCGGGGUCGUCGGCGGACCCGCCCUUCACACAGGUGAGGCCGCGCGGCGACGUCGGCGUGAUCGGCGACAGGAGGCCACGAAGGGGAGCCGCAGAUGUUCUAGGCUUGGAUUCUGCCGCGACGACGACCAUGGUGUCGCGAGCUCUGGGCGCGCAGCUGGAGCGGGCGCUGCAGCCGCACGGCGCAGUGGUGGGACGAAAGGGGUUCGUGCAACCUGACCGUGACCGCAGGCUCGCCCUCGCCUCCCAUGGGUGCCACAGCAGGGCACCCUCGCCGGCAAAUAACUUCGUCAUGAUCUCGCGAGCUGACGUUGAUCGCGGCUGGGCGGCACUUCAACAGGCGAUCAUCGAACGCGACAUGCUGAUCCGCCAGAACCACGACCUUGCUACGGCUCUCCAGGAAGCGGCCGGGCGUACCCAAGGUCUACAGCAAGAAUGUCUGUUGCUCCGCCAAGAGCUGCAACGGCACCAGACGCAGCGCGGCGGCGUGGCCGGCCAGCAUGAGUGCUGGGACUGCUUCUCCAGGCCAGCGGCGGUGGUGGCGGUUCCUUGCCUUCACAAGUGCCUCUGCCAUAGAUGCUACGUCAAGCGCCACUCGUGCCCCUUCUGCGGUCUUUGUUGGCUUAAUUCUUAG